Molecule: long non-coding RNA, 470 nt
Filed under: Pongo abelii (Sumatran orangutan)
Lineage: Eukaryota; Metazoa; Chordata; Mammalia; Primates; Hominidae
Description: lincRNA
Source: RNAcentral
AACAGUGCUAUGAAGGAUACAGUGGCUAGAAGUCAUCCUGUCGUCCUGCCUCACAGUAACAUCGUUACCAAAUUCUCAGCAGGUGAACCAAAUGAAAUGGUCAACUGAAAGCCAACCAGGCAAAAAAUCACCAUGUACCAACCUAUUCAAACUUAUCCAUGGAUGAAUCUAUCCAGAAGACAGGAGUUCCGAUGCUUGUCUUGCUCUGAAUGUCUGCUUGUCACCUGCUUAGCAUUAUCGACUGUGAUUCUGGGACUCGUUGUUGUUCUACAGGACCCCUCUGACUCUGUGGUUUUCUCUAUUGGAUUAACAAUGAUAGCCAUAGGUGCUUUUUUUGUUGUCCUCACUGGAGUGACAGCCCUGUGUACGGUUACAGUCGACGAGAACUUGCGGAAAACCACGAGGCUAAGACUAGGAGUGAUACGAAAAAGCGGAAGUCUCCAAGGAACUACAGAGCCUUCCAUGACUCA